AUUGAACGCUGGCGGCAGGCUUAACACAUGCAAGUCGAGCGGGGGAAGGUAGCUUGCUACUGGACCUAGCGGCGGACGGGUGAGUAAUGCUUAGGAAUCUGUCUAUUAGUGGGGGACAACAUCUCGAAAGGGAUGCUAAUACCGCAUACGUCCUACGGGAGAAAGCAGGGGAUCUUCGGACCUUGCGCUAAUAGAUGAGCCUAAGGCGGAUUAGCUAGUUGGUGGGGUAAAGGCCUACCAAGGCGACGAUCUGUAGCGGGUCUGAGAGGAUGAUCCGCCACACUGGGACUGAGACACGGCCCAGACUCCUACGGGAGGCAGCAGUGGGGAAUAUUGGACAAUGGGGGGAACCCUGAUCCAGCCAUGCCGCGUGUGUGAAGAAGGCCUUAUGGUUGUAAAGCACUUUAAGCGAGGAGGAGGCUACUCUAGUUAAUACCUAGGGAUAGUGGACGUUACUCGCAGAAUAAGCACCGGCUAACUCUGUGCCAGCAGCCGCCGCCG
Molecule: ribosomal RNA, 501 nt
Filed under: uncultured bacterium
Lineage: Bacteria
Description: partial 16S ribosomal RNA
Rfam family: Bacterial small subunit ribosomal RNA
Source: RNAcentral